This 382-nucleotide ribosomal RNA is filed under the name uncultured eukaryote. RNAcentral's name for it is "partial 18S ribosomal RNA". It matches the Rfam family "Eukaryotic small subunit ribosomal RNA", at positions 592 to 976 of the family's 1831-position model. The record is from RNAcentral.
CAAUAGCGUAUAUUAAAGUUGUUGCAGUUAAAAAGCUCGUAGUUGGAUUUCUGGUUGAAGCGACCGGUCGGGCGUUGAUUCGUCUGCACUGGAGUCGGUUUUGGCCAUCCUCUAGGAAAGUGCGUCUGGUAUUAAGUUAUCGGGCGUAUGAUCCUGGUCUUUUACUGUGAAAAAAUUAGAGUGUUUAAAGCAGGCCUUCGCCUUGAAUACAUUAGCAUGGAAUAAUAAGAUAGGACUUUGGUCUAUUUUGUUGGUUUGCAGACCGAAGUAAUGAUUAAUAGGGAUAGUUGGGGGUAUUUAUAUUCCGAUGUCAGAGGUGAAGUUCUUAGAUUUUCGGAAGAUAAACUUAUGCGAAAGCAUUUACCAAGGAUGUUUUCAUUAA